AGUGAACGCUGGCGGUAGGCCUAACACAUGCCAGUCGAACGGCAGCACAGUAAGAGCUUGCUCUUACGGGUGGCGAGUGGCGGACGGGUGAGGAAUACAUCGGAAUCUACUUUUUCGUGGGGGAUAACGUAGGGAAACUUACGCUAAUACCUCAUACGACCUACGGGUGAAAGCAGGGGAUCUUCGGACCUUGCGCGAUUGAAUGAGCCGAUGUCGGAUUAGCUAGUUGGCGGGGUAAAGGCCCACCAAGGCGACGAUCCGUAGCUGGUCUGAGAGGAUGAUCAGCCACACUGGAACUGAGACACGGUCCAGACUCCUACGGGAGGCAGCAGUGGGGAAUAUUGGACAAUGGGCGCAAGCCUGAUCCAGCCAUACCGCGUGGGUGAAGAAGGCCUUCGGGUUGUAAAGCCCUUUUGUUGGGAAAGAAAAGCAGCAGGUUAAUACCCCGCUGUUCUGACGGAACCCAAAGAAUAAGCACCGGCUAACUUCGUG
RNAcentral lists this ribosomal RNA (492 nucleotides) under uncultured bacterium. Its description in RNAcentral is "partial 16S ribosomal RNA". It matches the Rfam family "Bacterial small subunit ribosomal RNA", at positions 29 to 507 of the family's 1533-position model. The record is from RNAcentral.